CAGUCCACCAGUUCCUCUGCAGAGAAGCUCUCUUCUCGCCCAGCAAGUAUUCUGUGCUUUUGGAUUGAGGCCAGGAGGGGAAAUCCAUUUUCCAUAAAGAAUGCACACAGCUCAAGUGCUUGAAGAUUUUUUUUAACCUACUAAAAUAACUUUGUGGACAAAUGCCAGCUUGCAAGACACGUUCGGCAAAGAACAUUUGGCAUCAAAAACAAGAUUUCAUUUGCAAAUCCAGCAGUAGCUAUGAGUCUAAGAGAAAUUCGAAGUUGUGGAUCCAAUCCUUCAGGAGUGGUGCCAUUCAUUCCAGAAUCAAGAGUCGACCAAAAUACAGAAUCUCAGCCACAUGGAGCAGUCUGGUUGAAACAGAAAACAAGUCUGGGAAAAAACUGACAUCUAGCCAAGAGUUCAAAUCUGUUCAAAGAAGUCCUCUGAAUUUCACAUACUUUUCGCUUCAAUUUUAA
Molecule: long non-coding RNA, 458 nt
Filed under: Naja naja (Indian cobra)
Lineage: Eukaryota; Metazoa; Chordata; Lepidosauria; Squamata; Elapidae
Description: lncRNA (ENSNNAG00000011388.1)
Source: RNAcentral